Molecule: ribosomal RNA, 468 nt
Filed under: Fusarium solani
Lineage: Eukaryota; Fungi; Ascomycota; Sordariomycetes; Hypocreales; Nectriaceae
Description: eukaryotic LSU rRNA
Rfam family: 5.8S ribosomal RNA (bases 127-280)
Source: RNAcentral
UGUGAACAUACCUAAAACGUUGCUUCGGCGGGAACAGACGGCCCUGUAACAACGGGCCGCCCCCGCCAGAGGACCCCUAACUCUGUUUUUAUAAUGUUUUUCUGAGUAAACAAGCAAAUAAAUUAAAACUUUCAACAACGGAUCUCUUGGCUCUGGCAUCGAUGAAGAACGCAGCGAAAUGCGAUAAGUAAUGUGAAUUGCAGAAUUCAGUGAAUCAUCGAAUCUUUGAACGCACAUUGCGCCCGCCAGUAUUCUGGCGGGCAUGCCUGUUCGAGCGUCAUUACAACCCUCAGGCCCCCGGGCCUGGCGUUGGGGAUCGGCGGAAGCCCCCUGUGGGCACACGCCGUCCCUCAAAUACAGUGGCGGUCCCGCCGCAGCUUCCAUUGCGUAGUAGCUAACACCUCGCAACUGGAGAGCGGCGCGGCCAUGCCGUAAAACACCCAACUUCUGAAUGUUGACCUCGAAUCA